CAUCUUCCUGGACUCGUCAUUCAGCCUGUGGACCGCAAAGCAGGGUCGUAUUCAUUUGUGCACACCGUAUCAAAAUGUUUUAACACAAAAAUAAAACGUUUCUUAUUGGACAAGUUCAGGUAGUUCCUGCCCGUCUGUCCGUUUGCUAGUGAAUACACAGCUUGAAUGUCAUUGAGUGUCUGUAGACUUAAAUAUCUCUACCUACAGCUCUUUCCUUUACUUGAACCUUUGCUCUUAGUCACCAUUGUUAUACAUCAGUAAUUAGUGACUCCUUUAAUAUCAGCAGUUAGGGCGAAAUUCAUUUACAUUUCCCCGCAGUCAGUUAACGGAUUUAUUUAAGUGAUAGUCAUUUGUUAAUUCUACAAGGGUUCAAUUCAGUCCCUGGAGGAACGAAACAGAUUGAUCAAGACACUUAACUGAAGUAUUUGCCUAAGCUUAAAAUUAUAAUCUAAGAGUUCACGGAGAAGUUAAAUGCUGAAUGUGUAUCUUUUUUUUUCAGUUCGUAAAACACCUACUUGGAGGCCGAGUCAUCAAACGUGGCCAUCAUCACUACUGUUCCUUCUUCAAUAGUCUUCAGGAAUGUGAUGAGCGUGUUGACAUCUGCACACACAACAAAUACACAGAAGUGUUAAUACCUGCCUGGCGCCAGAACAACAUCUUUAUCCCUCUCUAACAAUACCGCUACACAUUGAAGAAGCUCAACUCCUAGGAGUAACAUUGGAUGGUCAGUUGUCAUUGCCAAGUCACAUACAAAGUUUUUGUGAAGAUGGUGAGCGGUACAGUAUGUAUGUUGUGGUGUGUUCUGCGUUUUUGACACAAAGCUCAACUGUAUCAGGCUUUGAUCUUGUCCCAUAACAUGGUCAGGUGCAGCAAAGAAAGACCUAGCAAAGCUGCAGCUGGCUGAAAACAAAAGCCUUGCCUUUAACUGCACACAAACAACAUGAUAGUCUUUCAUGGUUGAGGAGAAACGGACUACUUCUAGUCUAAGAAAAAUGUUUUCUUUUUUUUAAAUGCCUAACCAUUUGCAUACACUACAUACCCCAGACACACCACUAUGGGUUUCUUCACAGUACCCAUACCAAAAACACAUUUAGUGUGUCGCUCAGUUAUGUAUAGAAACAUGAAAUCGUGGUAAAAGUUCACAUUUAGAAACAUAUUGUAUCACAGCACCUCUCCUCUUUCUGAAGGUCUCAUUUAACUGUAUUGUACAUAAGAAUGUAUAUAUGAAGUGUGUGAAUAGUAUUGGCUGUCUAUUGGAGUCUUUCUUCCACACACACCUCUUAUUUCUAUAUUAAAGUAAUAUCUUAUGUU
This is a long non-coding RNA of Oncorhynchus keta (chum salmon), 1311 nucleotides long. RefSeq lists it as uncharacterized. The transcript is spliced from 2 exons. The record is from RefSeq and is a predicted model, not a curated record. Lineage: Eukaryota; Metazoa; Chordata; Actinopteri; Salmoniformes; Salmonidae.